Molecule: long non-coding RNA, 1652 nt
Organism: Neofelis nebulosa (Clouded leopard)
Lineage: Eukaryota; Metazoa; Chordata; Mammalia; Carnivora; Felidae
Exons: 4
Source: RefSeq, a predicted model, not a curated record
GGGAGGCUGGGAGGGAGCACCGGCCCGGCUGCAAAUAGAAGGCACGCAGCAGCUCCGGCUGCGAGGCUCCAGGCCGGCCCAAGGGCACCGAGGCCCCAGCCUACCGGAGCCAACAAAGAGGCGGGUCUCUCCUCUUACCGUCUCACUCCUGUCCUAUCUACCCUCUCCUAGUCCCGGACUGGGAGUGGGUCUUAUAAGUCGGGACAGAACAGACCCCGCUUUUGCUGGGGCAACGGAGCUGGUGCCCUCACUGUCUAUGCUCAGGAGGACGGCGCUGGGCGACCCACAGAGCCCGCGUGGGGUAUUGCGGGGGGGUGCAGGUUGGACCUCGCUCUACGCCAGGAGGCCGCGCCUGGUCACCUGCCGGACCGAUCCGGAGACGGUUUUAUCAGGCGGGCUCCUGGUAAAAACACUUGCGGAGUCUGCCCUCUCCGACGUAGGGGCACUAGUGGGAGGAAGCCCCGGGGAAGACAGGGUCUCUCUUGGACCCACCUGGUCGUGGAGCGGUUUCCGCGUUAAGAGCCCAACAGGUGCCGAAGGUGGAGUCGGACCAGCGGCCCUUUUACUCUUCCAGGAAGGAAGGGAUCCUUGCCUGCCCGCCCCCGUCACUCCCACCCUUGCUUUUGGAGAGCAGGUCUCUUCAAAUCCUCAAGAUGUCUUUGGCCCUUGAGUGACUCUCCUCAAGUUACCAGAGCCUUGCUGACAAUAGAUAACUGCUGUCCUGUAUGACCCACAAGACAUUGAAUGAGAGGGAUACCUUGAAGACAAAUAGAUGAAGAUUAGAGACGGGACCAGUAUGUGUACCCAACUUCACAGACCUUCAGAGAUCUACCAGAAACCCCAGUGCCUGUUGUCCUUGGCAGUGUGAGUGCAAUGACAGUGAAACAUUUCUUCAUUCACCUCUCGGCCCUUCCUGCUUGUGGCAAAGGUGUCAAGCAGAUUGCUGGGCAUGAAGGCGUAGUAGUUGUGUCUGACCACUGUGCAAGUGUCUCCUUCUGUAGCCAGGGUCACAUCGAGGGCACUGAAGUUGAGAACAGCCCAUGUGGGUUUCUUGUAGUUGGCUAGUCACUGAUCCGGAAGCCCAUGCUGAGAUUAUCCAGGGACGAGGUGAAUGGCUUCAGUAGCAACGAAUAGGUGAUUCUGUUGUUGAAUCUAACCUCUUGAGCCAGGUGAUAGAUUUCUGGGGAUGGUACCCCAAAAGUGGCAAACGUCUCCCCAAAAAGUCGUGAGGUCCUGGAUGGAACAUAGGCCCAGUUCUGUAGUUGUUUUUGUGACCUCACCUUCCCUGGAACUGAGCUCACCUAUGGGGGGAUCUGCAAUGUUGUGAAUACCUCUUGUUCUUACAGUAAGAGUGAGGUGACCCUGAGGGAGGGGGUAAUUGUUUUAGAGAUAAUUUAAGAAUGCAAGGAGAUUGUAGGAAAUAGAGUAAGAUGGAGAGAUUGGUAAAAUCAGGAAGGUAGCAAGGCGCCUGGGUGGCUCAGUAGGUUGAGUGUCUGACUUCAGCUCAGGUUAGGAUCUCAUGGUUGGUGAGUUUGAGCCCCUCCUCGGGCUCUGUGCUGACAGCUUGGAGCCUGGAGCUUCUUCAGAUUCUGUGUCUCCCUCUCUCUCUGCCCCUCCCCCACUCAUUCUCUCUCUCUCUCUCUCUCUCUCUC